AGGCAGCAGCCUGAUGGCAGCAAUGAAUCAGCAGCCGGUGGACUUGUCAAAGGCAUUCCUCCACUUUAAUCCUAUUGACAGGGACUACUGCCUGGAACAGGAACUGCGGGGAGUGGAGACACCAGAGCUGCAGGGGACAGGCUGCCUGGGAAGUCAAAUGAGGGCAGAAAGCAUCAGCCGCUCGAGGAAAUAACCUGUCCUUGCACAUUUCCUCAUGUUUGAGCUUCGAUAUUGUGAUUGCAAGCACUGUGAUGAGAGAAGAAAAGCUCAUGGCUUGCUUGGGCACUCAUUUUCCUGUAAGGAUGGACACCCCAGGACAAUCUCUAAGAGCAAUUUUGAAACCCCACUGAGCUGCAAGUCACCUUCCCUACCAACUGAGAUUUGUGCCCCUUUGCUUCCUGAAGGCUGAGGUGUGGCAGAGAGCAUGAGAAAAAGAAAACACCCCCCGUUUUGCUGAGCCCCAGCAGGGUGAACAGAGGGAAAAGGUGCUUCAGGGCAGGAAGAAACUGUGAAGAAAUAGGUUUGUAAGCUCCAUUUAUAUUGGAUUGUUUGAAAAUUGUCCUGAGAGUGCCUUCUGGGGACAGCUGUCCUGCUCUGAGGA
RNAcentral lists this long non-coding RNA (601 nucleotides) under Calidris pugnax (ruff). RNAcentral's name for it is "lncRNA (ENSCPUG00000016977.1)". Lineage: Eukaryota; Metazoa; Chordata; Aves; Charadriiformes; Scolopacidae. The record is from RNAcentral.